AUGAAGAUCUUCUUCUGGCUCCUUCAACAAAACCGACUAUGGUGUAACGAUCGGCUUCAGCGGCGCGGAUGGCCAAACAGAUACUUCUGCCAAUGUUGUCUUCGUCACCUUGAGACUUUAGAACACCUGUUCUGGUCCUGCCCUUGCUCUCUGAAGAUCUGGACCGCGGCAUCGCUUUGGCGCGGCUGCCAUGCACUCAACCCCGCUAGAUGGAGUGCGGCACCCUCAAGCCCAGCCAGGAUCAAACUAAUCACCCAGAAGGCGCAACCGGGGAGUGAAAGGCAAGCUGUCCGCUCAAUGGUUAUUUUGGUCUGUUGGGAGAUCUGGCAAGAAAGGAACAGCUGCACCUUCCGCAACAAGGAAGCAAGCACAGCAGAUGUCAUUGCCAAAAUUCAGGCCAUGAUCGAGCUCUGGCGUUUAGCAGGUGCAAAGCAUUUUGAGCGCCCCUUUGGGAAAAAUGACGCGAGAGGAUAUGCCACGACGACGCCACGAGCCGCAUUUUCUUUUCCUUUUCAUGUACUCUUUCACACACUGAUCACUUGA
This 543-nucleotide ribosomal RNA is filed under the name Triticum aestivum (bread wheat). Its description in RNAcentral is "partial small subunit ribosomal RNA". Lineage: Eukaryota; Viridiplantae; Streptophyta; Magnoliopsida; Poales; Poaceae. The record is from RNAcentral.